Non-coding RNA from Macaca mulatta (Rhesus monkey), 851 nucleotides. The record is from RefSeq and is a predicted model, not a curated record. NCBI's taxonomy places the organism in Eukaryota, Metazoa, Chordata, Mammalia, Primates, Cercopithecidae.
UAAAAUAAUUGUACUUAGUGCUUGUGAUUGAGAAUUACCACCUAUAAAUAUCUCAGCUAGAUGAGAUUCUUUUUCUGAUAAGUGAGCUGAAACCUGUGUGUUUAUAUAGGUUGAAUCCUUGCUGGUCCUGACUUUAUUAGGUUGACAUUUUCAAAUUUCCAAUGUACUAGCACUCUCAGAAGAGGAAUACUAAGGGGUGUGUCAUUGAUGACUUCUCAGUUUCAGGUAUAUUCUCCUUAGCUUCAUUGAGUAACUCCGGCUUCAUUUCCCCUGAGAAAUUAGAAUCUGUCAUACCAGCCAAUACAGUGAUCUCUCACUUUGUCUGCAGAAUCAGGAGCACGAGGAGGCCAGAAUUGCCAGGAGUAGUCUCAGCUUUCAAUUUAAUAGGAUCAUGUGUACCCUACUGGAAACACUAACCUUUUAUGAACUAAAACCUUCUGGUCCACUAACUGAGUUCACAGAUAUGUGUUUCAUUAAUGCACCUACAUAUUUAAGAUAAAAUCACAGCUGAUAGCUUGGAAGCUGCACUCCUCUCUCUUUCCCUUCCACCCCACAUCUGGAGAAGCUGAUGAGAAAGCCUGAGUGCUUCCUGGUCCCUGCAUGAAGUUCAAACCCCACAGGCCCUGAAUAAGAGCUGGAAUAAUCUCCUCAGUCUAUCCUAAGACACUAGAGGCCUAGAGAAUCAUCAAGUCUCUAAUUUCAAAAUCUAUUGUGAGAUAAUAAUGAGAUGACACUUCAGUGCUUACUUUUUAUGAUUGCCACUAGGAAUUUAUAAAGUAUAUGAUUUCGGGAGAAGAAAAUUAUUCUGUAUGGAAGAUCUGAAGUGCAAGAGGCAAUGGUAAUCGUUUGUA